This 102-nucleotide ribosomal RNA is filed under the name Acanthosepion pharaonis. Lineage: Eukaryota; Metazoa; Mollusca; Cephalopoda; Sepiida; Sepiidae. The record is from RNAcentral.
UAGCAUUGAAACACGGGUUCUCGUACGAUCACGGAAGUUAAGCAACGUCGACGCUGGUCACUAACUAGAUGGAUGACUGCCUGGGAAUACCGGGUGCUGUAA